CAAUAGCGUAUAUUAAUGUUGUUGCAGUUAAAAAGCUCGUAGUUGGAUUUCUGGUGGGAGCGGCCGGUCCGCCGUAAGGUGUGUACUUGGUUGUCUCCUGUCAUCCUUGUGGGAACUGCUCUGGCAUUAAGUUGUCGGGGUUAGGGAACACAUCGUUUACUGUGAAAAAAUUAGGGUGUUUAAAGCAGGCUUAUGCCGUUGAAUACAUUAGCAUGGAAUAAUAAGAUAGGACUUUGGCGUCUAUUUUGUUGGUUUGCACACCAAGGUAAUGAUUAAUAGGGAUAGUUGGGGGUAUUCGUAUUUAAUUGUCAGAGGUGAAAUUCUUGGAUUUAUGAAAGACGAACUUCUGCGAAAGCAUUUACCAAAGAUGUUUUCAUUAA
Molecule: ribosomal RNA, 380 nt
Filed under: uncultured eukaryote
Lineage: Eukaryota
Description: partial 18S ribosomal RNA
Rfam family: Eukaryotic small subunit ribosomal RNA
Source: RNAcentral